Molecule: ribosomal RNA, 497 nt
Filed under: uncultured bacterium
Lineage: Bacteria
Description: partial 16S ribosomal RNA
Rfam family: Bacterial small subunit ribosomal RNA
Source: RNAcentral
GAUGAACGCUGGCGGCGUGCCUAAUACAUGCAAGUCGAGCGAACAGACGAGGAGCUUGCUCCUCUGACGUUAGCGGCGGACGGGUGAGUAACACGUGGAUAACCUACCUAUAAGACUGGGAUAACUUCGGGAAACCGGAGCUAAUACCGGAUAAUAUAUUGAACCGCAUGGUUCAAUAGUGAAAGACGGUUUUGCUGUCACUUAUAGAUGGAUCCGCGCCGCAUUAGCUAGUUGGUAAGGUAACAGCUUACCAAGGCAACGAUGCGUAGCCGACCUGAGAGGGUGAUCGGCCACACUGGAACUGAGACACGGUCCAGACUCCUACGGGAGGCAGCAGUAGGGAAUCUUUCGCAAUGGGCGAAAGCCUGACGGAGCAACGCCGCGUGAGUGAUGAAGGUCUUCGGAUCGUAAAACUCUGUUAUUAGGGAAGAACAAAUGUGUAAGUAACUAUGCACGUCUUGACGGUACCUAAUCAGAAAGCCACGGCUAACUACGUG